This 492-nucleotide ribosomal RNA is filed under the name uncultured bacterium. RNAcentral's name for it is "partial 16S ribosomal RNA". It matches the Rfam family "Bacterial small subunit ribosomal RNA", at positions 29 to 507 of the family's 1533-position model. The record is from RNAcentral.
AGUGAACGCUGGCGGUAGGCCUAACACAUGCAAGUCGAACGGCAGCACAGUAAGAGCUUGCUCUUACGGGUGGCGAGUGGCGGACGGGUGAGGAAUACAUCGGAAUCUACUUUUUCGUGGGGGAUAACGUAGGGAAACUUACGCUAAUACCGCAUACGACCUACGGGUGAAAGCAGGGGAUCUUCGGACCUUGCGCGAUUGAAUGAGCCGAUGUCGGAUUAGCUAGUUGGCGGGGUAAAGGCCCACCAAGGCGACGAUCCGUAGCUGGUCUGAGAGGAUGAUCAGCCACACUGGAAUUGAGACACGGUCCAGACCCCUACGGGAGGCAGCAGUGGGGAAUAUUGGACAAUGGGCGCAAGCCUGAUCCAGCCAUACCGCGUGGGUGAAGAAGGCCUUCGGGUUGUAAAGCCCUUUUGUUGGGAAAGAAAAGCAGCAGGUUAAUACCCCGCUGUUCUGACGGUACCCAAAGAAUAAGCACCGGCUAACUUCGUG